GGUGGCUUAGGAAUACCCUCCCGGCUAUCGCUUCAGUGGGUAGAGGGGACCACUGCCCGAGAGCUUUAAUGGAGCUGGGUCCUGCCUUCGCGCUGAGGAGCCCUCGUUUUCGAGAUCAGGCCUGACCGGGAUAAGCUCCAGCUGUUCUUGAAGACUAAUUAGUUACACUGGAUAUGCUGCUGUUCUUUACUUUGGGAUUGCUUAUACAUUUUGUGUUCUUCGCCUCCAUCUUUGACAUUUAUUUUACAUCUCCUUUGGUUCAUGGAAUGACUCCUCAGUUUACACCAUUGCCUCCUCCAGCGAGAAGAUUAGUGUUGUUUGUUGCUGAUGGCCUUCGAGCAGAUGCACUUUACGAAUUAGAUGAAAAUGGAAACUCUAGAGCACCGUUUAUUAGGAAUAUCAUAAUGCAUGAAGGCAGCUGGGGCAUAUCUCAUACACGUGUGCCAACAGAAUCUCGGCCAGGUCAUGUAGCUCUGAUAGCUGGGUUUUAUGAAGAUGUCAGUGCAGUUGCCAAAGGAUGGAAGGAAAAUCCUGUAGAGUUUGAUUCUCUUUUUAAUGAAAGUAAAUACACAUGGAGCUGGGGAAGCCCAGAUAUCCUGCCUAUGUUUGCCAAAGGUGCUAGUGGAGACCACGUUUAUACAUAUAGUUAUGAUGCUAAAAGAGAGGAUUUUGGUGCUCAAGAUGCAACAAAACUGGAUACGUGGGUUUUUGAUAAUGUUAAGGACUUCUUUCAUCAUGCCAGAAACAACCAGUCUUUGUUUUCUAAAAUAAAUGAAGAGAAAAUAGUUUUUUUCUUACAUUUAUUAGGAAUAGAUACAAACGGACAUGCUCAUCGACCAUCCUCGAGAGACUACAAGCACAAUAUUAAAAAAGUUGAUGAUGGAGUUAAAGAAAUCGUGUCUAUGUUUAACCACUUCUAUGGAAAUGAUGGGAAAACAACAUUUAUCUUUACCUCUGACCAUGGAAUGACAGACUGGGGUUCCCAUGGGGCUGGUCAUCCUUCAGAGACUUUAACUCCUUUAGUCACUUGGGGAGCUGGAAUCAAGUAUCCCCAAAGAGUAUCAGCUCAGCAAUUUGAUGAUGCAUUUUUGAAAGAGUGGAGAUUGGAGAAUUGGAAGAGGCUAGAUGUCAAUCAGGCUGAUAUUGCACCAUUGAUGACUUCCCUUAUUGGAGUUCCCUUUCCUCUUAACUCAGUGGGAAUCCUUCCUGUGGAUUAUCUUAACAACACUGAUCUCUUCAAAGCAGAGAGCAUGUUUACAAAUGCAGUACAGAUUCUUGAACAGUUCAAGUGAAAAUGACUCAGAAGAAAGAAGUUACUUUACCAUUUUUGUUUACACCAUUUAAACUGCUUUCUGAUUCCAAACAGUUCAACAUUUUAAGAAAAGCAAGAUCUUAUAUAAAACACAGAAAGUUUGAUGAAGUGGUCUCCCUUUGCAAGGAGCUAAUUCAUCUUGCAUUGAAAGGAUUGUCCUAUUAUCACACAUAUGACAGAUUCUUUUUGGGCGUCAAUGUUGUUAUUGGUUUUGUGGGAUGGAUAUCUUAUGCCUCUUUGUUGAUCAUCAAGUCUCAUUCCAACCUUAUAAAAGGUGUUAGUAAAGAAGUGAAGAAACCAAGCCAUCUCCUGCCUUGUAGUUUUGUAGCUAUUGGCAUUUUAGUAGCAUUUUUUCUGCUGAUUCAAGCCUGUCCCUGGACAUAUUAUGUAUAUGGUUUGUUGCCACUGCCAAUAUGGUAUGCGGUUCUAAGAGAAUUUCAAGUUAUUCAGGACCUUGUUGUAUCAGUGUUGACCUAUCCUCUGAGCCAUUUUGUUGGGUACCUGUUAGCCUUUACCCUGGGAAUUGAAGUAUUAGUUCUCAGUUUUUUCUACCGCUAUAUGCUUACCGCUGGACUUACUGCCUUUGCAGCUUGGCCAUUUCUCACUCGGCUGUGGACUCGAGCAAAGAUGACCUCACUGAGUUGGACUUUCUUCUCUUUGCUCCUGGCAGUGUUCCCACUGAUGCCGGUUGUAGGUCGAAAGCCAGACAUCUCUCUAGUGAUGGGUGCAGGCUUGCUGGUUCUUCUGUUAUCCCUGUGUGUUGUAACAUCUCUC
This 2086-nucleotide long non-coding RNA is filed under the name Homo sapiens (human). RNAcentral's name for it is "long non-coding RNA NONHSAT178548.1". Lineage: Eukaryota; Metazoa; Chordata; Mammalia; Primates; Hominidae. The record is from RNAcentral.